UCAGUCCAUUUCUGAACAUCAGAGAAUCCACACAGGGGAGAGGCCCUAUGAAUGCAGUGAAUGUGGAAAAUGCUUCACUAAGAGCUCAGGCCUUUCUGAACAUGAGAGAAUCCACACAGGGGAGAGGCCCUAUGAAUGCCAUGAGUGUGGGAAAAGCGCCUCGUGGCACUCAGCCCAUGUUAGCCAUCAGAGAAUCUGCAAGGGAGAUCAACACCAUAAAAACCUCUCGGGCUAGCAAUACUUUUUUUU
Gopherus evgoodei (Goodes thornscrub tortoise) is the source of this 249-nucleotide long non-coding RNA. RefSeq lists it as uncharacterized. NCBI's taxonomy places the organism in Eukaryota, Metazoa, Chordata, Testudines, Testudinidae. The record is from RefSeq and is a predicted model, not a curated record. The transcript has 3 exons.